UUUAAUUUCCCAUGCUUCUCAAACAGGGGCACUACUGGGUAUGUAUAUAUCAACAUGCCAGGGUGCACCUGAAUUCACAGACCAAGGAACCUAAAGAUAAGAACUCAAAAAGCUUGAGGGUGAGAUAACAGGAAAU
This is a long non-coding RNA of Sapajus apella (tufted capuchin), 136 nucleotides long. RefSeq lists it as uncharacterized. The transcript is spliced from 3 exons. The record is from RefSeq and is a predicted model, not a curated record. NCBI's taxonomy places the organism in Eukaryota, Metazoa, Chordata, Mammalia, Primates, Cebidae.